Molecule: ribosomal RNA, 433 nt
Filed under: uncultured bacterium
Lineage: Bacteria
Description: partial 16S ribosomal RNA
Rfam family: Bacterial small subunit ribosomal RNA
Source: RNAcentral
AACGAACGCUGGCGGCAUGCCUAACACAUGCAAGUCGAACGAGACCUUCGGGGCUAGUGGCGCACGGGUGCGUAACGCGUGGGAACCUGCCCUUAGGUUCGGAAUAACUCCCCGAAAGGGGUGCUAAUACCGGAUAAUGUCUUCGGACCAAAGAUUUAUCGCCUUUGGAUGGGCCCGCGUUGGAUUAGCUAGUUGGUAGGGUAAAAGCCUACCAAGGCGACGAUCCAUAGCUGGUCUGAGAGGAUGAUCAGCCACACUGGGACUGAGACACGGCCCAGACUCCUACGGGAGGCAGCAGUGGGGAAUAUUGGACCGUGGGCGAAAGCCUGAUCCAGCACUGCCGCGUGAGUGAUGAAGGCCUUAGGGUUGUAAUGCUCUUUUACCCGGGAUGAUAAUGACAGUACCGGGAGAAUAAGCUCCGGCUAACUCCGUG